AGUGAACGCUGGCGGUAGGCCUAACACAUGCAAGUCGAACGGCAGCACAGUAAGAGCUUGCUCUUACGGGUGGCGAGUGGCGGACGGGUGAGGAAUACAUCGGAAUCUACUUUUUCGUGGGGGAUAACGUAGGGAAACUUACGCUAAUACCGCAUACGACCUACGGGUGAAAGCAGGGGAUCAUCGGACCUUGCGCGAUUGAAUGAGCCGAUGUCGGAUUAGCUAGUUGGCGGGGUAAAGGCCCCCCAAGGCGACGAUCCGUAGCUGGUCUGAGAGGAUGUUCACCCACACUGGACCUGAGACCCGGCCCAGCCUCCUACGGGAGGCAGCAGUGGGAAAUAUUGGACAAUGGGCGCAAGCCUGCUCCGGCCAGACCGCGUGGGUGAAGAAGGCCUUCGGGUUGUAAAGCCCUUUUGUUGGGAAAGAAAAGCAGCAGGUUAAUACCCCGCUGUUCUGACGGUACCCAAAGAAUAAGCACCGCCUACCUUCGU
Molecule: ribosomal RNA, 491 nt
Filed under: uncultured bacterium
Lineage: Bacteria
Description: partial 16S ribosomal RNA
Rfam family: Bacterial small subunit ribosomal RNA
Source: RNAcentral